UUUCGCAAUGCCCGAAAGGGUGACGAAGCGACGCCGCGUGUGGGAAGAAGGCCUUCGGGUUGUAAACCACUGUCGGGAGUUAGGAAAUGUAAGGGUGCUAAUAGUAUCCUUGCUUGACUAAGGCUCCGGAGGAAGCCACGGCUAACUCUGUGCCAGCAGCCGCGGUAAUACAGAGGCGGCAAGCGUUGUUCGGAAUUAUUGGGCGUAAAGAGCACGUAGGCGGCCUUGUAAGUCAGUUGUGAAAGCCUUCUGCUUAACGGAAGAACAGCAGCUGAUACUGCAAGGCUAGAGUGCGGAAGGGGAGAGUGGAACUUCUGGUGGAGCGGUGGAAUGCGUAGAUAUCAGAAGGAACACCGGCGGCGAAGGCGACUCUCUGGUCCGUAACUGACGCUGAGUGUGCGAAAGCUAGGGGAGCAAACGGGAUUAGAUACCCCGGUAGUCCUAGCCGUAAACGAUGGGCACUAAGUAGAGGGGUUUUA
RNAcentral lists this ribosomal RNA (479 nucleotides) under uncultured Planctomycetota bacterium. Its description in RNAcentral is "bacterial SSU rRNA". It matches the Rfam family "Bacterial small subunit ribosomal RNA", at positions 364 to 833 of the family's 1533-position model. Lineage: Bacteria; Pseudomonadati; Planctomycetota. The record is from RNAcentral.